This 442-nucleotide ribosomal RNA is filed under the name uncultured bacterium. RNAcentral's name for it is "partial 16S ribosomal RNA". It matches the Rfam family "Bacterial small subunit ribosomal RNA", at positions 338 to 795 of the family's 1533-position model. The record is from RNAcentral.
CCUACGGGUGGCAGCAGUGGGGAAUAUUGGGCAAUGGGCGCAACCCUGAUCCAGCAACGCCGCGUGAAGGAAGAAGGCUUUCGGGUUGUAAAAUUCUUUUGUCAGGGAAGAGUAGAAGACGGUACCUGACGCAUAAGCCACGGCUAACUACGUGCCAGCAGCCGCGGUAAUACGUAGGUGGCAAGCGUUGUCCGGAUUUACUGGGUGUAAAGGGCGGGUAGCCGGGUUGACAAGUCAGAUGUGAAAUCCUGCGGCUUAACCGCAGAACUGCAUUUGAAACUGUUGAGCUUGAGUACUGGAGAGGGAGAUGGAAUUCCUAGUGUAGCGGUGAAAUGCGUAGAUAUUAGGAGGAACACCAGUGGCGAAGGCGGUCUGCUGGACAGCAACUGACGGUGAGGCGCGAAAGCGUGGGGAGCAAACAGGAUUAGAUACCCGUGUAGUC